AUCUCUAUAAAUCCCCCUGAUUCAACUAAUAUUAGACGCCCCACAGAUAAGAUGCUGUAGAGUUACAGAGGGAAGUUGAAGAUAACUUUGCCUUCAAAGACUAAGGAAUAAAACAAAGAUAAAACAGACAAUAAAAGCAAACCAUGAUAGGUGCCAUGUGAAAAGUGGCAGAGUACUGCAGGGAAUGAAAGAAUCGUGUAUAUCUGUCUUGGGGAAAAGGAAAGAAAGGCAGUAUGAAGGAGUAGGCAUUUAGGAUUGACCUUGAAGGAGAUGGGGAGUGUUUUACAGCAAGAGGGAUCGCAUGAGAAUAUAUAUGAAGGUGAAUCAGUGAAAGGUGUGUUGGGGAAAAAGUAAAGACUCCAGGAUAUGUUGAGAAGUAGUGAGACAAAGGAGUAUGGGGUCUAAGAUACUAAAUGGAUGAAUUUGUAUUUAAUUCAGUAUUUUGAGUUUUCAGGGUUCAGAAAUUUAGGGGAAGAAAAGGAUUUUUUUUUUUCUUUGUGCUAUUGAUUUAUCUGUGAGGAGAAGCAGAAAUUAGAGGUAGAAAUACUGACAGAUCUACUGUAGGCCAGGUAAAGGUAAUGAUGAGUCUGACCUAAAGGGACAGCGAGGGAAUUUAAAAGAGCAUGGUUGAGAGAUGAUGUGCAUGCAGAAUCUGUAGAAUUUGGCAACUGAUUGAUUAAUUGUGGGUAGGAAGAGAGAAAUCAAAGAUAGUGGAGGUUUUGAGUUUGUAAAUAAUUGUAAGAGAGAAAAGAGACAAUUACAAAGGAAAGAAGAAGCAGCUACUUCUUAAGAGAAGAUCAGUUUAGAUUUGAACAUUUUAAGGAUUCGAAGGAUUGUCAAGACAGCCAGAGGGACAUGAACACUGGUAAAUUAGAAAUAAAGGUUUUGUAAUAUGGGAAAGGGGACUGAACUAGAAAGUAGACUCAUAAAUAAUCAGCCUAGGAGUGAUAUCACUGUGAGAUAAAAGAAGAAAACAAAUGUCAGAAUCUGGCAAACACCCUCUUUAGAGUAUUGCUACUCAAAACGUGGUCAAUAGCCCAGCAGCACUGACGUGAGGAUGUUACUUAGAAACUCAGAAUCUCAGGCCCCGCCCCAGACCUUCUGAACCAGCGUCUUCAACUUAAAAAAAAAACCUGAAGAGAUUUGUGCCACAUCAAAAAAUUUGAGAAUCUCUGAUCUAGAUGAGCAAAGCCAGCAAAGAAACGGUGGGGUGGGGAGGUGCAGAAAGUGGGAGGAGAAUUGGGUAAUGCAGAGGUAAACUGGUGUUUCACAAAAGGAUGGCUGGAAGGAGUGUUGAUCAAGAUCCAAAACCACAGAGGUUGAAAAGCACAAGGAAAGAAGGUAUGCUUGCAUUUUGUGAUUAGGUAGUACGGUCUUUAAGACCACAUUUUUCUCAUUGAAAGCCUGGAAAGAAAGAUCCCCUUUGUGGUCAAGGUUAGUCUAGGGACCCCAUCUUCCCCAGUUCCCACAUAUAUGGGACAUAUUAAGAUAAGUAGAUAGAUUUGACAGUGGGAGAAAGCAGUUCUCUUCCAGUUGCUUCUAUUUUCUCAGCAAAAUGAGGAGUAAGAUUAUUUCGGCAGACUGCUAAUUGUCCAUCACAAUUUAGUCCUCCCUUCUCCCUGAACACACAGACUGCUUUUCUCAGCCUCUCUUUCAUGUGCAUAUGGUCAAGUAUUAAGUUAUAGAAAGUGAGCAGAUGUUAUGUCUGCCACUGUCAGGCCAAGGCCUUUGCUUUGAGAGUACUUGUGCCUCUUUCAUGCAUUUUCCUUUCUGCCAGCUGGACCCUGGACACGGUGACUCUGCUUCAAUUAUGCAGAUGACUGAAAGCCUCUGGGGUUGGCAGAGCCACAAGAAAGAAGGUGCCUGGAUGAAGGAGAGCUACCCACUGACCUGGAUACCCAAUUACGAAAAAUACGUAUGAAAGAUCUCACAUUAUAGACUACAAAUGCCAAAUGACCCUCUGUGCUCUCACCACCCUUAACCUAGAAAUAAAAUAGAAACAACUCCUAAGGAAAUAGUCUUUAAAAUAACCAGCUAAAAUUUUUAUCAACAAUAACAAAAAAGUAGUUGGGGUUUCUGCUUAUUAAAUUAGUUUGUAUGGGUAAGCACCACCUAAGUUUUUUGAUUCAUGGCAUGUGUUUCUAAACCAAUUUACUAUCCACCAAAAAUAAAUAGUCAUCAAUAUACAAAAAGUAGUUGUAUUUCUUGACACUAGCAAUGAACCAUCUGAAAAUGAAAUUAAGAACACAAUUCCACUUACAGCAGCAUCAAAAAUAAUUAUUUAGAAAUAAAUUUAACCAAAGAAAUGCAAGACAUGUACACUGAACACUAAAAAACAUGGUUAAAAGAAUGGAAAGACAGCUCAUGUUCAUGGAUUGGAAGACUGAAUAUUGCUAAGAUGGCAGUACUCCCCAAAUUGAUUUAUAGAUUCAAUGCAAUUCCUAUCAAAAUUCCAUCUGCCUUUUUG
This is a long non-coding RNA of Sapajus apella (tufted capuchin), 2467 nucleotides long. RefSeq lists it as uncharacterized. The transcript has 2 exons. Lineage: Eukaryota; Metazoa; Chordata; Mammalia; Primates; Cebidae. The record is from RefSeq and is a predicted model, not a curated record.